CAUCCUGAAGAUCAGCGUGUGCGAUGC
Molecule: non-coding RNA, 27 nt
Filed under: Homo sapiens (human)
Lineage: Eukaryota; Metazoa; Chordata; Mammalia; Primates; Hominidae
Source: RNAcentral